UGACUUCUUUAGCCAUUCAUUCACAAAUGGACACUUGACUUCUUCUGCCCUUACCUGUUCUGAAUAGUGUUACAGUCUACAUCCGUUCUUAUUGCUAUUAUUUGUUCAACAUCUCCAUUUAUAUCUUUAUGGGCUUACUCCUGUCUACAUCUUUCUUUCUUCUGUGGGACACAUUUCCUGCUCCACAUUUCCCUGCUCCCCAGAUCUUUCCCACAGUGCCUCUCCUAUUCAGAUCCUUGAUCUGUCUGAAAUCUCUUCCCCAUUCUACUCUCCUUCUUCUCAUACCCGGCCUGGAAUUUAAAGGACUAACAUGUCCCUCUCUUCCUACAGAUGAUACAGGAGCCUACAAGCUCAGAGCCAUGAUUCCCACCCAGAGAAGCUCCCUGGGUUCAAGAUGUACCCUAUCGACUUUGAGAAGGAUGAUAAUACCAACUUUCAUAUGGAUUUCAUUGUGGCUGCAUCCAACCUCCAAGCAGAAAACUAUAAUAUUCACCCAGCAGAUGGCAUAAGAGCAAGCUGAUUGCAGGGAAGAUCAUCCCCAAUUGCCACAACCACAGCAGCUAUAGUUGGCCUCAUGUGUCUGGAGUUAUAUAAAGUGGUGCAGAGACACUGGCAGUUUGACUCUUAUAAGAAUAGCUUUAUGUAGGCCCUGCCUUCUUCACUUCUCUGAACCCCUUGGCCCCCCCCA
Long non-coding RNA from Lutra lutra (Eurasian river otter), 688 nucleotides. RefSeq lists it as uncharacterized. The record is from RefSeq and is a predicted model, not a curated record. The transcript is spliced from 3 exons. Lineage: Eukaryota; Metazoa; Chordata; Mammalia; Carnivora; Mustelidae.